Molecule: long non-coding RNA, 307 nt
Organism: Haliotis rubra (blacklip abalone)
Lineage: Eukaryota; Metazoa; Mollusca; Gastropoda; Lepetellida; Haliotidae
Exons: 4
Source: RefSeq, a predicted model, not a curated record
GCACACUCUACUGGGUAUGCUACAAAGACUUAGAUAACGACAGAAUUUGCUACGAUGCUGCCGAUCCGAGUGCAACUCCUUGUUGUUUUGUUGGGCCUCAUCUGUGUUGCUGAACAUGAGGUCAAUGGACACGAACCGGUUCGUCCUGUCCUGGCGAAGGGAAUGGUCCAGCCGUUGGUGAUAUUGAUAGGUGCAAAAGAUGCAAAUCGUGGAAACCAGGCAGGUUCACCAGAAACAAAGGAGUCCCACCUACCAGCUUAAAGUCUGUCAACCUGGCAAAGAAAGAUGAAUAAACACUGGAAAUGAA